UCCAAGGUAGCUCAAUGGUGGAGCGUCCGCCUGUUAAGCGGAGGGAUGUGGGUUCGAAUCCCACCCUUGGAG
This 72-nucleotide transfer RNA is filed under the name Candidatus Sericytochromatia bacterium. RNAcentral's name for it is "tRNA-Asn". It matches the Rfam family "tRNA". Rfam says of the family: Transfer RNA (tRNA) molecules are approximately 80 nucleotides in length. Their secondary structure includes four short double-helical elements and three loops (D, anti-codon, and T loops). The record is from RNAcentral. Lineage: Bacteria; Bacillati; Candidatus Sericytochromatia.